AACGAACGCUGGCGGCAUGCCUAACACAUGCAAGUCGAACGAGACCUUCGGGUCUAGUGGCGCACGGGUGCGUAACGCGUGGGAAUUUGCCCUUGGGUUCGGAAUAACAGUUGGAAACGACUGCUAAUACCGGAUGAUGACGUAAGUCCAAAGAUUUAUCGCCAAAGGAUGAGCCCGCGUAGGAUUAGCUAGUUGGUGAGGUAAAGGCUCACCAAGGCGACGAUCCUUAGCUGGUCUGGGAGGAUGAUCCGCCGCACUGGGACUGAGACACGGCCCAGUCUCCGACGGAAGGCAGCAGUGGAGAAUAUUGGACGAGGGGCGAAAGCCUAAUCCAGCAGUGCCGCGUGAGUGAUGAAGGCCUUAGGAUUGUAAAGCUCUUUUACCCGAGAUGAUAAUGACAGUACCGGGAGAAUAAGCUCCGGCUAACUCCGUG
Molecule: ribosomal RNA, 433 nt
Filed under: uncultured bacterium
Lineage: Bacteria
Description: partial 16S ribosomal RNA
Rfam family: Bacterial small subunit ribosomal RNA
Source: RNAcentral